UACCAGCCCCCUGAGUGGUAGGGACGAUUAUUUGGCCUAAAGCGUCCGUAGUCGGCUCAGUAAGUCUUUUGUUAAAUCUAACGAUUCAAUCGUUAGGCCGCGUUAGAUACUGCUGGGCUAGAGGAUGGGAGAGGUCGACGGUAGUCCUGGGGUAGGGGUGAAAUCCUAUAAUCCUAGGAGGACCACCAGUGGCGAAGGCGGUCGACUAGAACAUGCCUGACGGUGAGGGACGAAAGCUGGGGGAGCGAACCGGAUUAGACACCCGGGUAGUCCCAGCUGUAAACGAUGCGAGCUAGGUGUCGGAGCAGCUACGAGCUGCUCCAGUGCCGCAGAGAAGUCGUUAAGCUCGCCACCUGGGAAGUACGGUCGCAAGACUAGAAACUUAAAGGAGUUGGCGGGGGAGCACCACGAAGGGGUGAAGGCUGCGGUUU
RNAcentral lists this ribosomal RNA (431 nucleotides) under uncultured archaeon. RNAcentral's name for it is "bacterial SSU rRNA". It matches the Rfam family "Archaeal small subunit ribosomal RNA", at positions 474 to 903 of the family's 1478-position model. The record is from RNAcentral.